AAUUUUAACUGGUAGCAAAUUCUGUGCCUUGAUUGGCUGUCAAAAAACGUGAACAGCAAAUUCAACCAAUCAAGGGGCAGAUUUUGCUGUCGAUCAUGAUUACGAUGAAUAUGUUUUUCUUACACAAUCGGGGGAC
Molecule: long non-coding RNA, 136 nt
Organism: Maniola jurtina (meadow brown)
Lineage: Eukaryota; Metazoa; Arthropoda; Insecta; Lepidoptera; Nymphalidae
Exons: 3
Source: RefSeq, a predicted model, not a curated record